UCCGGUUUAUCACCGGCAGUCCCCCAUGAGUCCCCGACAUUACUCGCUGGCAACAUAGGGCAAGGGUUGCGCUCGUUGCGGGACUUAACCCAACAUCUCACGACACGAGCUGACGACAGCCAUGCAGCACCUGUCCUAGAGUCCCGAAGGAGGCCUCCUGUUUCCAGGAGGUUUCCCUAGGAUGUCAAGCCUGGGUAAGGUUCUUCGCGUUGCCUCGAAUUAAGCAACAUGCUCCGCCGCUUGUGCGGGCCCCCGUCAAUUCCUCUGAGUUUUAGCCUUGCGGCCGUACUCCCCAGGCGGGGUGCUUAAUGCGUUAGCUUCGACACGGAGAGGGUUGAAGACCUCCCCACACCUAGUGCCCAACGUUUACGGCGUGGACUAC
Molecule: unclassified non-coding RNA, 382 nt
Filed under: uncultured bacterium
Lineage: Bacteria
Description: contains 16S-23S intergenic spacer region
Source: RNAcentral